RNAcentral lists this ribosomal RNA (253 nucleotides) under uncultured bacterium. RNAcentral describes it as "partial 16S ribosomal RNA". It matches the Rfam family "Bacterial small subunit ribosomal RNA", at positions 524 to 776 of the family's 1533-position model. The record is from RNAcentral.
UACAGAGGUGGCAAGCGUUGUUCGGAUUUAUUGGGCGUAAAGGGUCCGUAGGCGGUUUGGAUAGUCAGAUGUGAAAUCCCACAGCUCAACUGUGGAACUGCAUUUGAAACUUCCAGACUAGAGUGUGAGAGGGGUAAGGGGAAUUCCCGGUGUAAGGGUGAAAUCUGCAGAGAUCGGGAGGAACACCUGUCGCGAAGGCGCCUUACUGGCUCACUACUGACGCUCAGGGACGAAAGCUAGGGGAGCAAACGGG